GUGUGUGUCCAAGGGAAAAGACCAAUAUGUCUAGAUCUGUCCUUUGAGGCUCACACAUACACACAUUUUUCCCGUCACUCCCUGCUUCACUAACACGAGAGGGUGUGGUGAUCUGUAGAAAAAUCAACUUCCUGUCUGCAAUCCCCGCAUGGCAUCGUAACGGAUGGGUUUACAUCACCAAACCCAAUCUCACUCUCUGAGAACAUCAGGAAAUGCUUCUCUCCAACACAACAUCAGAGAACGAGCUUAUUUUUUUGAAGGAAAAGUGUGAUAAGCCCUAAACACACUCUCUGUCUCUCGCUCUCUGACACUUACUGCUUCUGAGGAAUAGAAGGGACAGACUUUAUCACCAACAGAUUAAAAAUAGAGAAGGGAGACUGAGGAAAGGCAUCCAGCCUCGAUCAUCGAGCAUUGGUCAAACAUGUGAUCAUCAGAAGCGAGGGGACCAUACUGGAAUCUAACAAUCGUGAUCCUGAUGCUGCUGAGCCCACAUGUGUUAGAAUCCAUGACUUCUGGAGAGAUAGAUGGCUUUGUGUGGCUGAUGUCCUCAGAGACUCUGGUAGAGCAGCUUGACUUGUGGGGCAAUACUAGUUGACCAACCAAAACCAGCAUGCACAUGCCCAAAUCAUGACUCAGGAAUAAUGGUAACCAGCAUUAAAAAUGGUCAUUCAAAUGAUCAUUAGCUGAAUCUAGUCAUUUGUAGGAACAUGCUUUUCACUUUAUAAUUGU
Molecule: long non-coding RNA, 729 nt
Organism: Cyprinus carpio (common carp)
Lineage: Eukaryota; Metazoa; Chordata; Actinopteri; Cypriniformes; Cyprinidae
Source: Ensembl